Molecule: ribosomal RNA, 854 nt
Filed under: Tolypocladium parasiticum
Lineage: Eukaryota; Fungi; Ascomycota; Sordariomycetes; Hypocreales; Ophiocordycipitaceae
Description: LSU rRNA
Rfam family: Eukaryotic large subunit ribosomal RNA
Source: RNAcentral
GAAAAGAAACCAACAGGGAUUGCCCCAGUAACGGCGAGUGAAGCGGCAACAGCUCAAAUUUGAAAUCUGGCCCCCAGGGUCCGAGUUGUAAUUUGCAGAGGAUGAUUUUGGCGAGGUGCCUUCCGAGUUCCCUGGAACGGGACGCCAUAGAGGGUGAGAGCCCCGUCUGGUUGGACGCCGAGCCUAUGUAAAUCUCCUUCGACGAGUCGAGUAGUUUGGGAAUGCUGCUCUAAAUGGGAGGUAUAUGUCUUCUAAAGCUAAAUAUUGGCCAGAGACCGAUAGCGCACAAGUAGAGUGAUCGAAAGAUGAAAAGCACUUUGAAAAGAGGGUUAAAUAGUACGUGAAAUUGUUGAAAGGGAAGCGCUCAUGACCAGACUUGGGCCCGGUGAAUCAUCCAGCGUUCUCGCUGGUGCACUUUGCCGGGCUCAGGCCAGCAUCAGUUUGCCCCGGGGGACAAAGGCUCUGGGAAUGUGGCUCCUCCGGGAGUGUUAUAGCCCACUGCACAAUACCCUGGGGUGGACUGAGGUUCGCGCAUCUGCAAGGAUGCUGGCGUAAUGGUCAUCAGCGACCCGUCUUGAAACACGGACCAAGGAGUCGUCUUCGUAUGCGAGUGUUCGGGUGUGAAACCCCUACGCGUAAUGAAAGUGAACGCAGGUGAGAGCUUCGGCGCAUCAUCGACCGAUCCUGAUGUUCUCGGAUGGAUUUGAGUAAGAGCAUACGGGGCCGGACCCGAAAGAAGGUGAACUAUGCCUGUWUAGGGUGAAGCCAGAGGAAACUCUGGUGGAGGCUCGCAGCGGUUCUGACGUGCAAAUCGAUCGUCAAAUAUGGGCAUGGGGGCGAAAGACUAAUCGAAC